AAGUCGUAACAAGGUUUCCGUAGGUGAACCUGCGGAAGGAUCAUUAACACGUAUCCAAACGUUAAACCCCCCUGUGAACCUUCACCUGUACUCGUACGUCCGUUAGAAAAAGCAGCAAUCCCUGGUAAAUCAUCGCCGAACAGUUUUCGAUUCAGGGACGUCUGCAAGGAGCGUGCAUGUUGUGCGAAGCAAGUGGCCUGGCAUCCCCAAGCAGUUAGUGUCUGAAAGUGUCAUUACCUGUGUAAGGAUGACGCAGUCACGAUCGUUGGAGGCGAUAAUACGCAGUCGACCAAAAACCGAACAACUGUUAACAAUGGAUAUCUUGGUUCUC
This 331-nucleotide unclassified non-coding RNA is filed under the name fungal sp. RNAcentral's name for it is "partial internal transcribed spacer region". The stretch from base 1 to 46 matches the Rfam family "Eukaryotic small subunit ribosomal RNA", at positions 1786 to 1831 of the family's 1831-position model. Lineage: Eukaryota; Fungi. The record is from RNAcentral.